AUGCCCGCGCCCAAGCUCAGGCUCGAGGCGUACCGCCUGGACGACAUGCGGCUCGAUUUCCUGCCCUUGUACGGGCGAGGCGGCGGCGGCGACAGCAGCGGCGCGAUCCUCUCCGUCGACUCGGCAGGCCACACCAUCCUCUGCGACGCGAGCUCGGGCUGCGUCCAGCCUGCCCCCAGCCUCGGCGAGCCCAAGGGGGACAGCCCCAUCUCGUUCACCAUCGCUCGCGCCGGCGGCCCCGACCCCCGCGUCGCCGUGGCUCUGUACGUCAUGGACAGGUUCCCCACCGGCCGCAGCUCCUGCAGCUUCGAGUCCCUCGCCUACGGCGAGAACAGCUGCUGGGAGUGGAGCCGGCUCCCGCCGCCGCCCUACGUCAACGACCCGGCCUACGACUGCACCGCUAUCCACUCCUACACGCUGCUCAAUGCAGGCUCCACCAUCUGCGUAUCCUCCUCCGGGCGCAGCCCCGUCGGGACCUACUGCUUCGACACGGCUAGCCGCCAGUGGAGGAAGGCUGGCCGCUGGGCGCUGCCCUUCUGCGGCAGGGCCGAGCAUGUCCCCGAGCUUGGCAACCUCUGGUUCGGCAUGGCUGACAGCAGCCCCAACAACCUGUGCGCGUCGGACCUCUCCAGCCUCGACGACGGGGCUCCCAGGAUGCUACGCGAGUGGCAAGUCCUAGACCCGCCUCGGGGCUGGGUGCAAAUAAGGGGCUGCCUGCUCUACCUGGGAGCCGGCAGGUUUUGCAUCAACAAAGUUUUCGACAUUGGGGACGAGGGCAGGACCAAGAGUGACAAGCAGGCUGCUGUCAUCACCGGUGUGGAGGUGGUACAUGAUGAAACAGCCCAACUCCAGAUGAUCAAGCACAAGUCCUGUGUCAGCUAUGCAGGCAUCCAGUGUAUCCUUUAG
Molecule: ribosomal RNA, 906 nt
Filed under: Triticum aestivum (bread wheat)
Lineage: Eukaryota; Viridiplantae; Streptophyta; Magnoliopsida; Poales; Poaceae
Description: partial small subunit ribosomal RNA
Source: RNAcentral